Mytilus trossulus (common blue mussel) is the source of this 197-nucleotide long non-coding RNA. RefSeq lists it as uncharacterized. The record is from RefSeq and is a predicted model, not a curated record. NCBI's taxonomy places the organism in Eukaryota, Metazoa, Mollusca, Bivalvia, Mytilida, Mytilidae. The transcript has 3 exons.
AGCAAGUGAUAAAUUAUCAAAAUCAACGACCAUACUUUCCAGUAUCAGUCCACUACGCACCAGAAAGUUGCAGGAUUUUUCAAGAUUCUAUGAUGAAAAGAAAACUUCUACUGAUGAUCGGGACAUAAUAAAAAUCGGUGCUGAAGUAAUGGCUUAUUUUAAAGAUGAUAAGGCAUGGUAUCCGGCAAGAAUUCUGG